This 81-nucleotide transfer RNA is filed under the name Trichosporon asahii var. asahii CBS 8904. Its description in RNAcentral is "tRNA-Ser (AGA) (tRNA-Ser-AGA-13-1, tRNA-Ser-AGA-7-1)". It matches the Rfam family "tRNA". Rfam says of the family: Transfer RNA (tRNA) molecules are approximately 80 nucleotides in length. Their secondary structure includes four short double-helical elements and three loops (D, anti-codon, and T loops). Further hydrogen bonds mediate the characteristic L-shaped molecular structure. tRNAs have two regions of fundamental functional importance: the anti-codon, which is responsible for specific mRNA codon recognition, and the 3' end, to which the tRNAs corresponding amino acid is attached (by aminoacyl-tRNA synthetases). tRNAs cope with the degeneracy of the genetic code in two manners: having more than one tRNA (with a specific anti-codon) for a particular amino acid; and 'wobble' base-pairing, i.e. permitting non-standard base-pairing at the 3rd anti-codon position. The record is from RNAcentral. Lineage: Eukaryota; Fungi; Basidiomycota; Tremellomycetes; Trichosporonales; Trichosporonaceae.
GGCAUUGUGGCGGAGUGGUUAACGCGGUUGACUAGAAAUCAACUUCCUUCGGGAGCGCAUGUUCGAAUCAUGUCAAUGUCG